UUGCUAUGGCAUCGUUCAGGUGCCAACGGGACCCUGGUUCUGCCGGAAAUGUGAAUCUCAGGAGCGAGCAGCCAGGGUGAGGUGUGAGCUGUGCCCACACAAAGACGGGGCAUUGAAGAGGACUGAUAAUGGAGGCUGGGCACAUGUGGUGUGUGCCCUCUACAUCCCCGAGGUGCAAUUUGCCAACGUGCUCACCAUGGAGCCCAUCGUGCUGCAGUACGUGCCUCAUGAUCGCUUCAACAAGGUCAGCGGCCCCCCGCCGUGUCCCCUACCAGUUCCCUCCCAUCCAUGGGUUCCUCCAGCGCUCUCUUUAUCCAGUGUCAUUUGAUUCUGUCCAACCAGCACUGAAAGGGAACUUGGGAGGUGGGUAGGUACCUACCAGUGAACCACCCUUCUGUUGACAGACACACUCAUGCUCUGGCACUCAGGUGAAAUAGUAGGCUCCCCUGCAGUAGUUCUGCCAGAGGGUAGACCUUUGCAGGUACUUCAUUCAUUCAUUCGCUGGAUACAUUUUAUUAAGUGCCUACUAUGUGCCAGACCUGGUGCAAGGUAGGUGGCACACGCUGUUUGGUGCUGAUCAAGACAGGUGUGCUGCCCGCUCAAUGGAACGCAAGUUCUUGCAUGCAAAGACUAUAAAUAUCAGUAAAAAGGCAAAGU
This 657-nucleotide small RNA is filed under the name Pongo abelii (Sumatran orangutan). RNAcentral's name for it is "retained intron". The record is from RNAcentral. Lineage: Eukaryota; Metazoa; Chordata; Mammalia; Primates; Hominidae.